GUAGGGAAUAUUGCGCAAUGGGGGAAACCCUGACGCAGCGACGCCGCGUGAGUGAUGAAGGCCUUCGGGUCGUAAAGCUCUGUUGUACGGGAAGAAGUUUGCAGUGCUAAUACCAUUGCAAAUUGACGGUACCGUAUAAGAAAGGAUCGGCUAACUUCGUGCCAGCAGCCGCGGUAAGACGAGGGAUCCUAGCGUUGUUCGGAAUCACUGGGCGUAAAGCGUUUGUAGGCGGCUCUUCAAGUCGGGUGUGAAAUCCCAUGGCUCAACCAUGGAAGUGCAUUCGAAACUGCAGAGCUUGAAUAUGGAAGAGGAGAGUAGAAUUCCAGGUGUAGUGGUGAAAUACGUAGAUAUCUGGAGGAAUACCGGUGGCGAAGGCGGCUCUCUGGUCCAAUAUUGACGCUGAGAAACGAAAGUGCGGGGAUCAAACAGGAUUAGAAACCCUUGUAGUCC
This 450-nucleotide ribosomal RNA is filed under the name uncultured bacterium. RNAcentral's name for it is "bacterial SSU rRNA". It matches the Rfam family "Bacterial small subunit ribosomal RNA", at positions 354 to 796 of the family's 1533-position model. The record is from RNAcentral.